GAUGAUGACGAUUAAGUGCAUAUAAUCACAACAACAAAAUACCAAGCAAAGGGGAGAAAAAGAAAACGGCAAUGCCAGCGAAGGCAACAACGACAACAAGAACAACAAAAGCUACUACAACACCACACACAUUGAAAUGAAACAAUUUUCUCUACCCUUUAGCUGCGUCUUUUUCGCAAAAAUACAGUCAGUCAGUAUGGAGCGCGACUUUGAAAUGAACGUUUGUUUGUUGGGCUGGUGUACUAUAUGCCAGGGGCCCAGCUAGGGACCCCUAUAACGUAGUAUCAUCUCCCACUAGUGUUUUUCAACAUACACACUUUAUAUGUACAGAUGGGUGUAUUUUGUGUUUUAAAAGAUUAUAAAAAAAGGAAUUAACAAAAACAAAACAUAACUUUAAAAAAAUAUCUUUGGUGUGAAUUGUUUACAAAAAAAAAAAAAUCAAACAAACGUCAAAUCUCCUGAGGAACAACAAUUAGACAAAACGAAUUGAAGUUUCGAAUUUGAUUUUUAUAAUCGCUGUUAACUUCUUUGAUUCUUUGACAAAACAAAGAUACAUCAUAACGAUGACAGCUUUUUGUAAUCGAUAAAUUUUUCGGUAAGUUAUGCAAAUACACUUAAGUCGUAAAGUUAAGUUUUU
Stomoxys calcitrans (stable fly) is the source of this 637-nucleotide long non-coding RNA. RefSeq lists it as uncharacterized. The transcript is spliced from 3 exons. The record is from RefSeq and is a predicted model, not a curated record. NCBI's taxonomy places the organism in Eukaryota, Metazoa, Arthropoda, Insecta, Diptera, Muscidae.